UACAACAUAACGUUGUCCAUAAAUUCAC
Molecule: small RNA, 28 nt
Filed under: Bombyx mori (domestic silkworm)
Lineage: Eukaryota; Metazoa; Arthropoda; Insecta; Lepidoptera; Bombycidae
Description: ovarian small RNA-20051
Source: RNAcentral